Cucumis sativus (cucumber) is the source of this 1005-nucleotide long non-coding RNA. RefSeq lists it as uncharacterized. The record is from RefSeq and is a predicted model, not a curated record. NCBI's taxonomy places the organism in Eukaryota, Viridiplantae, Streptophyta, Magnoliopsida, Cucurbitales, Cucurbitaceae. The transcript is spliced from 2 exons.
UUUAAAAGAGCCAAAAACAAACACAUUUUCAUCAUUCAUAAGCUCGUUGAGAAGUAAAUUUAGAAUUAUCUUCAUCUCUUAAAAUUUCUCUAUCACAUUUCUUUCUUCUAUAAUCACUUUGUAAACUAUAAAGAAAGUAGGGUUCUUUUCACAAAUAAAACAAAGCACCAAACUUCAACUAUCCCAGUUUUUUCUUCACAUAAAUCUGAGUAGUAUAGGAUUUUGUGUCAUCUGAGUUUCUUUCAGCGUUGCUUUUCCCUUGCAUAACCAUCUUUGACUCUCUAAAAUAAACAUCCUACUAAUUAUAAACCUCUUGCAGCUUGAAACCCUUUACUCCUUCUGUGAAACCAACAAACAUACACUUAGCAGCUCUAGCCUUUAGUUUUCGUUGCUUUUGAUUGACAUACCCUACACAUCCAAACACCUUAAGGUCAUUUAGAUUGGGGGUGUUUGGACCAUUUCUCUUUUUGUUUUAUAGAAUCAAAGAGAAAAGAAUAAGAAAAUGAGAGAGAGGGAGACCGAGAAGCAGAAGAGGAGAUUUCUCACCUCACCGUCGGUUCCAUUCGCUCACCAUCGUUUCGUCAUCGUGUUCCGCCACUCACUGUUGUAUAUCGGGCCAAACAGAGAGGCCUUGGCCGUCAAAGACACCGGAGCCGGUGAGGAUGAAACCAGUAAUAUCUUCAAUGGAGAACCAUUCUGGAGAUGAAUAUGCACUAAUAUCGGUGGUGGCCUUUACAGUUCCUCGAUUUUCGAGGGUGAUCGGAAAGCUUUUGCACGGACCGGCGAAAGUCACCGGACCCACCAGAAAUGUGCGUUGUGGGAUUAAGAACUUUGCCGGACCGACUGUGUUCCGACAAGCUGCAAUCCACGUUGUCAUGAAUGCCUGCCAAAUGGAAAAUAAAAACAAAUUGUAACUCUUUUUGCCAAAAAAAUGUUGAAAUAAUUGUACCAUCCAUUUCCACCCAAAUAGAAUACAAGAAAAAUUGAUAUCGGUUUCGAAUAAUA